Long non-coding RNA from Sapajus apella (tufted capuchin), 130 nucleotides. RefSeq lists it as uncharacterized. The record is from RefSeq and is a predicted model, not a curated record. The transcript is spliced from 3 exons. NCBI's taxonomy places the organism in Eukaryota, Metazoa, Chordata, Mammalia, Primates, Cebidae.
UACACCUUAUUACCUUACACUUACAGCUUUAGGCGUAACCAUCUUAGGGCUCCUUCUAGCAACAGAACUUAAUCUCAUAACCAACAAUAUAAAAUUAAGCACCCCAGUAAAAACCUUGUAAAUUAGAGAA